UACGUAGGGUGCAAGCGUUGUCCGGAAUUAUUGGGCGUAAAGAGCUCGUAGGCGGUUCGUCGCGUCGGCUGUGAAAACCUGAGGCUCAACCUCAGGCCUGCAGUCGAUACGGGCGGACUUGAGUACUGCAGGGGAGACUGGAAUUCCUGGUGUAGCGGUGAAAUGCGCAGAUAUCAGGAGGAACACCGGUGGCGAAGGCGGGUCUCUGGGCCGAUACUGACGCUGAGGAGCGAAAGCGUGGGGAGCAAACAGG
This 253-nucleotide ribosomal RNA is filed under the name uncultured bacterium. RNAcentral describes it as "partial 16S ribosomal RNA". It matches the Rfam family "Bacterial small subunit ribosomal RNA", at positions 524 to 776 of the family's 1533-position model. The record is from RNAcentral.